RNAcentral lists this transfer RNA (65 nucleotides) under Conostigmus sp. MM-2013. RNAcentral describes it as "tRNA-Ser". The record is from RNAcentral. Lineage: Eukaryota; Metazoa; Arthropoda; Insecta; Hymenoptera; Megaspilidae.
AGUUAAUGAACUUGAAUUAAGUAAAUGUUUUGAAAACAUUAAAUAGAAAUAUAUUCUAUUAACUU